GUCUGCAGAAGGGAAAAUACAUGCACAUGCACACACAUAUGCAGAGCAUUUACAUAAAAUGAGAGAAAAUAGGCCUGGAUGGUUUUUGAGGGGCCACCUGGAAAGAUCUGUUAUUUCUUCCAUGCACUUCUGCAAUUUCCACAAAUAAGUUUGUAUUGGAAAAUAAAAAGAGGAUGAGACUCCGGAUGCAUUCAUUUUCUUGAGCACACUAUGCCACUUUAAAAAUAAGCUUUAAAUGGCAGGUAAUUGUUUCCAUAUUAAGGAAGGCUUAAGGAUGACUGACAAGAUCUGCUUUUGCAGCUCUGAUUUCUGCUAGUCAAAUCACCGAGGACGAGAGUGAAUAGGGCAUAUUUAGAAAAUGUAUUUUUAAAGCUAGGCUUUCACUGAACUGUAACUCCAAGCAAAAGUGAAGCUUCCCCAACCAGCUGUGGCUAAAAUACAGGGGAAAAAAGAAAGAAAGAAAGAAAGAAAGGCAUAAUAAAGAAAAGCUGCUAUAAAACAAAAUGGUGGUUAUAGCAGACAUGCACGCAAACCCUGAGCCCUCAUCUAAGGCUUGAGACCAAAGCUGCACACUGCCAGCACACGGCUCUGUGCAACCGUAUCCUCCCACCCUGGCUGCCACUGCUUCAACAGUGCCCUCCCUGUGAUCUGCUUUUGCUGUCCCGUGGCCUUGUGUCCCCUCCACAGUGGUCUCAAAGGACUCCAUGCAGCGUGGGGGACUGGGAAAGCAAAGGGUGCUCAUCUCCUCAGCCCAGCAGAAGGAGAUGUGUCCUGUGUGACUGAACCGGAAAAAUCUAAACACUGCUCUGCAUGUUGCAAAGGAUCGGCAAAGUCACUGAGAACUGGAUCAUCUGCGUUUGUUUAUCCAUACUGGAACAGAGAAGCAGCCACAGAACUUGAAAAUUGUCCUCAGCUGAGACCCCAGACACACUGAAAACACGGACAAGCUUGGAAUCAAAAGGUACGUCAGCUCUGCCGAUCAAGCACAAGUCAACCCUGCUCUUAAAACUAGACGCCCCCAACAUGUAUCAACAUACAUAUCCUAUGGAAGAGAGGCACUUUGAGGCUCUUGGGCUCAUGUGCUCUGGGCAGGUUAAGCACUGGUGUAAUCACUGAAGCCUAGCCUGGUUGCUGCAUGUUCACUGUAGAAAGCCAAGGGUGUGCAGCCAGAAAAAUACCGUCUGAUCCCUGUGGAAUAUAGGGACAGCCAGCCGGCUUCUAGGAGGAAGAGGGAUGGGAGAGUGUGGGUAGAGAGAAGUAAUUGUUUCAGCUGGUGAGGUUUCCAGCCAUGAGUCUACCUGGAGUAGAGAAGCCACCUGCCGACUCAAGCAUUGGCUCAGUUUUCCAGAAAGCGGGCAGAAGUGGUGGAGAGCAGAGUUUACUAGAAAGCUUUUAACAGCUAGCUUACCACACUAGAAAGAUUGCCUCUAGUCCAAUCCCAAACUUUGGCAUGCUAGACUUUAAGUGUCCCCAAAAACAGCACGCGUUAAGGAUGGACUACUGCAAAGAUCAAGUCAAAACACAGAGUAUACCGCCUGUAUGGCUUGUUAUACCUAAAUCUCCUUGCAUACCUGCUCUCUACAUUGAAGGAUAAAGGGUAUAGAUCUUCUGGUUCAACACGUAACCAGUUCAGUCCAUUCAUUCUCCUUCAACCUCCAGACAUAGCCAAAGAACAGAAUCCCUGUCUGCAUCAUGCUCCUGGGGUACACAGGUCAUUUUUUUUAAUUAGUUCAAACUCACAGUAUUUAUUUUUACUGCAACUCUGCCACACCCAUUUCUCUUGUCUUUUCCCCCGAGGUGAUUAAUUUAAAAACAAACAUGUUUUUAGCAAAAGGAAAUUAGGAGAGAAGUGUAUUGGAAAUAGGACUGUUUUCUUUCCUUAUAAGCAAAACAGGCUCCACUGUAAGCCCUACACAUUUCACAAGAUCAAGGCUUUUAUGGUGUUACAUAUGAGCAUUUUUCAUUUGUAUCAUGUAUGAGCAUUUGACCUGACAUGUCUUAUGGGUUUAUUUGAAUGUUUCCUUUCCAUUCUGUUUUUCUCCUGGAACAGGCACCCUCUGUUCUUACCUUUUUUUUUUUUUUUUUUUUUUCCUCCUGCUAUGAAGAAAAUAAGCACAUCUUUAUGGGCCAGACUGGAAUAUCCUCAGAUGGGAUGAAAUGCUAUCCCUGAAAGGCACUACUUAGGUUACCAUUGACUUUAUUCUUUCUAAGACAGCCAAGUUUCUAAAUGGUAGAGUCCUCAUACAGUAUAGUUUAACUCUCUGUAAGAGCAGUCUCAGUUCAUUCACAAGUUCAAAACUUGUCUGCCAUUUACACGGCUUGUGCACCUAAGGCUAACCUCUGGAGAUGUCUGAAGGGAAAAGUCCAAAAGUGCUCAGCACCUUAAUGUGUGCCCAAGCUCUCAUUUAGGUGAUCUGGAUGAGUCAGGCAAAGUGUAUAUGCCACUAGCAUAUACUGCAAGCCCUGCUCAUAGAGUGUGGAUGGCCCAGAGCUAAGGUACUGCAAAGUACACACUUGAGCUAAAAGCUUACGAUAUAGAAGGAAGGUUGGAUGAGUUGGUCACAGAACUUGCUGUGCUUUUUCACUGUAGAGUGCCUUUGGAUGUAAUAGGGUUAAAAAACAGCAUGCAGAAGCCAAUCAUUUUUCCAGGUUCCAUUGCCUGUUAUGUGAAAGUCUCUGAAUCCCACUGAGAAUCCUUUACGUAGCUGGUUUUGUUGAGAAAUUUUCUCCGGUCCUACAUGCUGCAGUUCUACGUUAUCAAGAUGUGAGGCUGUGAAGAAGCAAUCUAGUGAUAGAUUCCCUUCCCUUGCUUAAAGGGACUGAGGUGCACAACUGCAUUGUACUCCCAUUGGUAUGGGAAACGAAAGUGGAGAAUCUUUUGCUUAUUAACAGUGAAAAACCAAAGACAUUAAAAGCCAUGAAGAAAUGUCUGGGAACUGCUGGCAGUAGAGUUUGGAAAGGAAAGCACAGGGUGUUAUGCUAUUCCCGUGCACGGUCAUCUGUUGUAUGAGGUACAACCCCCCCCGGACCCUAGCAAAGUCCCUUCUGAAUUCAAAAAUCUUGUAACUAAUCUGAGACUUUUGCUGCAGCCGAACAGACUCAAGGUCUCUUAAAUAACUUAAAUACCUAUAAUUCCACAGGAAAUUAGAGAACGGUUAGGUAGUCCCGUAGCAGAGGAAGAAAUAAAAAGGAGUCAUAAAACCUCUGGUCUCUGGGA
Struthio camelus australis is the source of this 3217-nucleotide long non-coding RNA. The record is from Ensembl. NCBI's taxonomy places the organism in Eukaryota, Metazoa, Chordata, Aves, Struthioniformes, Struthionidae.